UGGGGAAUCUUGCGCAAUGGGCGAAAGCCUGACGCAGCGACGCCGUGUGUGCGAUGAAGGUCUUCGGAUCGUAAAGCACUGUCGCGAGGGAAAAAGAAAGUGAUGGUACCUCGAGAGGAAGCACCGGCUAACUCUGUGCCAGCAGCCGCGGUAAUACAGAGGGUGCGAGCGUUGUUCGGAAUUAUUGGGCGUAAAGCGCUGGUAGGUGGCUUGUUAAGUCGCGUGUGAAAGCUCCAGGCUCAACCUGGAAAGUGCGCGCGAAACUGGCGAGCUUGAGUGCCGGAGAGGGUCGCGGAAUUCCCAGUGUAGAGGUGAAAUUCGUAGAUAUCGGGAGGAACACCAGAGGCGAAGGCGGCGACCUGGAAGGUAACUGACACUGAGCAGCGAAAGCGUGGGGAGCAAACAGGAUUAGAUACCCCCGUAGUCC
Molecule: ribosomal RNA, 427 nt
Filed under: uncultured bacterium
Lineage: Bacteria
Description: bacterial SSU rRNA
Rfam family: Bacterial small subunit ribosomal RNA
Source: RNAcentral